ACCCUCCCAAAAUCUGUUUCCCUAUUUCUACAAAUGCUGCAUUUGUUGAGUCUGCAUAUCUUUGCUCAAAUGCUAUUUCUUUGAACAAAGACCAAGCAUCGUCAUCGGACAAGCCUUUCAGAACAUAAGGUUGACAUUUACUAGUAAUCUUUGCUACUCUCAAAGAGCGAGUAGUUACUAUUAUCCUACUUCCUUUAGCCCCACCUACUAAUAACUCUUUUAAACUAACCCAUUCUUCCCACUCCUCGUUCCAAAUGUCAUCCAAAACAAGCAAAUAUUUUUUCCCACCAAUUUUUCCUCGAAGUUGGGUUUGCAAUUGAUCCAUUUCGAGUUUUUGAUUUGGUGCUUCACCAGUUGCAGAUUUGAUCAUAUUUUCUACAAUUAUUUUGACAUCAAAAACAUCUGAAACGCACACAAACAUCAUCAACUCAAAAUGAUUUUUGACCAUUUCAUCAUUAUAGACAAACUGCGCCAAAGCAGUCUUUCCUAACCCUCCUAACCCCACAAUUGGAAUGAUGGAAACAUUCUCUUCACUUUCAAACUCUAACAUGAGUUUUAAAAGAGCUGCUUUAUCAUCGUCCCUCCCUAUUAUGUUAUCUUUAAAAGAGUGCGUUUGAUGCCUCCUUUUAGUCAUGAAAGAGGUUUCCAUGGGGCGGUCACGCUCUACCAAAUUGAAAAUCUUGGCCUCACUUCCAAUCGAAGUUAGCCUCGCCUUAAUGGCCUUAAUUUGACGACCCAUUUUGAGACCGUAAGCAAACUGGUUUGAGCUUGAGAAGAAAAGGCGUACCUCUUUCGUCAACUUGUUCCCACCCAAUAGAUCUUUCCGCAAAGCUUCGGUAGAGAAAUCAUCGAGCAGGUCAUCGGCAUCAUAAAGUACAUCUUUCAGCUUUUCAAGCCAAUCUUUGACGAGAUGGCUGGUCACAGAUCGCUGUUCUGCGUCAAGAAGCACAGCUUUGAUUGUGGAGACGGUGCUUUUGAGGUCGUCGAGGUCAUCUUUGACAUUCCAACACAGUCCAAUUUGAGAGAGAGUAAAGGAGCUCAAUUUAGUAAUAAGCUCUACAGCGAGGUCGAAUGCAAUUGCUUCGGCCAUUGCCGGUUCAAACUGAAAUCAAGCAAAAGAGUGUUUGGUUAUUGCAAGAGGUGGACUAAAAUGAAAACGAUUGGAACAAGAUGAAAUACAGGUGUGGAUCCAUACUGGCGGAUACUAAGAAUUUUUAUAGAUGUUACCAUCCACACCCAGCAAGUAGUAUAAUUAAAUGAAAAUAAUGUUGAUUAGUGGGAUGGAGACAAAGUUGGGAUGAUGACACUUUGGUGCUCUGCACAAUUACAUCAACUUGGGCAAAAUUUGUCAGUCUCGGUCCCUACAAAUAAUUGAAAUUAUAAUGAAAAAGCUAUGAAAGAAAAGAGAAGAAAGAGAGAAAUCCCAUGGAAUCCAAGGUGUUUAGAUUGAGGCACAUGCAUUCGAGUGUUUGUAACUUUUCCCACUUGCUUAGUGUAAUCCAGCUGAGUUUGAAUACUCGGUUGAGGUUAAAUUGAAUAUUUUAUUUCUAUUUGAGUUGGACUUAAGUUCGUAAUUUAAUUUAAUAAGAUAAAAUAUAUAUUAUAUAUUACUAAACUUAAAUUUAGUUAGAUUGAUAGUUGAAACUCAAUUCAAUAAUUAUCGAAUUAAAUUUAAAUUUAUUUUUAGUCGAAUUCAGUUUAACUUAUUAACAUUAAAAUCUCAUUUAGGCCUCUCCCACCCAUGAAAUUUAGCUUCAAUUUUUCUUUUUUGGUAAUUUGGUAACAAUUAUUAUCUUUUUUAAAUUCUACUUUAAAAGAAAUUGUCACAAACUGAAAUCAAGCAAAAAGGUGUUUGAUUAUUGCAAGAGGAGGACUAAAAUGAGAAUGAUUCCAACAAGACGAGACACAGAUGUGGAUCCAUACACGCAGAGACAGUAUUUUAUAAAUGUUACCAUCCACCCACUUAGUAGUAUAAUUAAAUCACAGACCGAAAUUAAAUAAUGAAUUUAAAAGAUUAAAUUUAAUUUUUAUUAUUUAAAAAAUUAAAAUAUAAUUUUAAUUUUAUUAAUUUAAAAUUUUAAAAAUUUCAAAUAAUCUAGAUAGAAAAUUUUUCUGGCAGGCCCUACCAGCUGCCGAAGGGGAAUGGUCCACCAUGUUGGGACGAUGACAUUUGGGGCGCUCUGCACAAUUACAUCAACUUGGGCAAAAUUUGUCCGAAUUAAUGAAAAAGCUAUGAAAGAAUAGAGAAGAACAGAGACAAAUCCCAUGGAAUUCAAGGCGUUUAGGUUCAGGCACAUGCAUUCUAGUCUUUCUAAAGCUUCUUUGAGCUGAGUCGGAAUUUUUUGAGUUAAAAUUAAAUAUCUAUUUUUAGGGUCGAGUUUGAUUUCAGUUCAAGAUAUAAAUGAAUAUUUAAAUUAGUUAAGCAUGUAAUUUAAUAAGAUAAAAUUAUAUAAAAUAUAUAUUAAAAAUAAAAAAAUUCAAUAAGAUUAGUGAGUCAUUAGAAUAAAGUAUUAUUAAGUUUGAAUUCGACUAAAUUAAUAGCUUAAACUUGACUCAAUAAUUACCGAAUGGAAUUUGAAUUUUUUUUUUAAGUCGAAUUCACUUAAUUUGUAAGCACUAAUAUCUCAUUUACACCUCUCUCACCUACAAAAUUUAACUUUUGGUAUUUUUGGUAACGAUUAUCAUGUCUAUAAUUAUAUAUUAUGAUAAUUGUUACCGUCUCUAUUACUAUUUUACUAUACUCUUGUUAUAAGGAAAACAAAGGGAGAAAUAACAAUUAGAUGCUUGGAAUUUUGCCUUGUGCCAUGAUAGACCUUUAUAAGUACUUUCAAGUCAAGGGCGUAAUUAGGGGUUGACAGGGCCCCGACCUUUUCAAAAAUAGAUUUUUUUUCAUCUAGGCCCUUUAAAAAUUUUAAAAUUUUAAAUUAAUAAAUAUAAAAUUGUACUUUAGCCUCCUAAAAAUGAUAAAAGUUAGAUUUAAUUUUUUAAAAAUUAUAAAGAUAUAAGUUAAUAAAAUGGUGAAAUUAUACUUUUACUAUUGCAAAAAUUACAAUUUAAUUUUAACUCCUAAAAAGAUUUACUGACUUCGACUCUAUUUCAAGUAUGAUAAAGAAAAAGAUAGCACACAUAAGCUCUUAUGUAGUUUCCAUUUUUUUUUCACUUCGAGAUAUAUAUAUAUUAAUAAUUUUGAAGAAACAACCCAAUUAUUUUUUAUAUACUAAAACAUGAUUUUAUAUAUUUUUAUUUUAUGUAAUAAAUAUUAUUCAAAUUUUGGAACAUAAUUAAAAUAUUGCAGGGAUAAAAAAUUCAAAAAUAAAAGUUUGAAAGAAAAUAAUAAUGAAAUAAAAAAUUUAAGUCAUUUUAACUACUAAUUUAAUAAAAAAAAUUAAAACAUACAAUUUUUAUGUAUAUUUUAUAAUUUAAUAUAAAAUAUAAUUUUAAUUAUUUUUUUAAUAUAAACAUAACAUUGAUAUUUUCAAUUAUUAUUUAAGAUGUUUUAUUUUUAAAUAUAUCCUUAAUUAUUUAUUUUACAUAUAGAUGAAUUUGAACUUAAUGUCUUUAGUUAUUUUUUAUACACGUCCUACCACAACGUCUACAUUUAAGUUCAAAUAUAUAUUCCACAAUUAGUUUUAAUCUCAUCACUAUAAUAGUCAACCUCAAAUAUGACAAAAAUUUUUAUACACUAAAUUAAAUUUUUAUGGCGAAUUUAUAAAAAUAACAAUCAUGGGGCAAAUGUAUAUGCACUUAGGUAUAAAGUACCAUCAAUAGAAAAUUUAUUAUUUAAAAAAAAAGAAUAAUGACUUUUUAACUUUCUAACUUUACAAAAUUUUUUAUUAUCUCUUUUAACCUUUAAAUUUAUAUUUUUUGUCAAGUCACCCUAAAAUGGUUGGAAAAGUUAACGUUUAUUAACUUUACUGACGUGACAUACAUAUGGUAUAUACAUGUGGAUUACUAUAUGUAUGUCACGUUAGCAAUUAAUAAAUUUUUAAAAAUUAAAAGGUAUUGUAAAUAUGUUUUUAUAUAAUUUUAUAAUUUAAAUACUUUUUAAAAUAUUUUUAUAUAUUAUUGAAAUUUUAAAUUAAAAAAUAAUUAACUGCUUACGUGGCAAUCUAAUGUAUGAUUUAUUUCACCUAGAUAUUAUAUUUUCCUUUUUCUUUAAAAACAAAAUAAAAAAUUAAUAAUUUCAUAAUAAUGAGUAAAUAAAUGUAGCAUUCUACCACUUGGUCCAGUAGUUAGUGCAUGAUUUAUAUAUUCAAAAAAUAGGCUCAAAAAUCCUUUUUUUCUUAAAGUUAAAAGAAAAUACAAAAUUAAGGUUCACAAACAUCGAUUUUUUUAAUUGAUAUGGUGCAACAACUUACAUGGGCUUAAUUGCAGAUUUUUUAAAACAUUUCACACAUUAUGGGUUAAGGCAUCUGAUAAGUCCCGUGUCAUAGAUUGUAUCAAAUUAGUCUCUUUGUUAUUAAAUGAAUCAAUUUAGUUCCUAUAUUAUUAAAAAGAAUUAAAUAGGAUCAAAUUGUAAAAGAGUUAACAAUUUUUAAUACAAUUUUCAUACAAUAAAUAUUAAUUCUGUUAUAAAUUGGCCUUAUUUGAUCCUUUUUAACAGUAUAGGGACUAAAUUAACCAUUUAAUUAUUGAGGGACUAAUUUGAUACAGUCCCUAUAAUAUAGGAACUCCCAAAUACUUUCACCCUUAUAUAUGUAUUUCUAUCUUAUAUAUUGAUGUCGGAAGGACAUUGGUGCCGAUUGGCAUAAGGUUUUUGGUCCCAUGAAUACCAUAUUUUGUAAAUUGAAGUUACUUUGUUACUUCAUUUAUCAUUUUCUUUUGCUAAUUUGUGCAGUAACCGAUCCCUUUAAUAGAGAUGUUACAAGAACUCGCAAACUAUGUCUACCUUCAUGUACGAGUUUCGCCAAAUAUCAGCCUCCCGAUUAUUCAUUCUAGAAGUAUACGAAAAUAUUUCAAUGAUCAAGCUGCGUCAGCAACUAACGAAUCCUUCUAACUUAAACAGAAUUGGAUCCACCUAUAAAUUUCUCCUAAAUAAUCUUAACUGCCUCAGGAUUAUCAAUAUGGGUUACCUUGAAAAUUUUUAGUGAAACGAAUUUGGAAAAUUCAUGAAUCUAAACAAAUUUAGUAAAUUUUCUGAUGUAAUAAACUGAUGUAUUAGAACCGCAUAAUUAAUGCUUAUUCUUGUCAGCAUUAGUUAAAUGGAAGAUGCAAAAUAAGACCUGCAUUCUUCACGAGCUGAUCCAUCUCUGCCACUGUUCUAUUGAAAUCCUCCUGUACAUACGUGUUGGAACAUUAAAAAAUGUGUUGUUUUUUUUUUUGCCGGUAUCAUGCAACAAAAUAACAUAAAAAGUAUAAUCAAGAUGUUUAUAUACUUCAGAACUCUUCUUACAUCUGCGAGGCCUUGCCCAGAUAUAAAUAUAGUAUAAACUUCAUAGUACAAAGGAGUGAUUUAACUUUACCCCUCAAACACUUGAUACAACCUCACCUUUGUAUAGUUAAGUAAUUUCUCUUCCAAUUCAUUUCAACUAUGCAAGUGAAAAUAAACACUCGGAUGGUAUAUAACAAUGUCACUCAAUAAUAGUUCCUAUUAUGAAGAUAUGUGCUUCUUUAAAUUCACACAUCAUCCAUAAAAUAAAUCAUCUAUAUAUAACCUCUAGGAUUGGUGAAACUCUUCAUAAGCUCCGUAUAAAGUGGCAUAAUAAAUUUCCAAAUGCAAUAUCUCCGACAAUUAUCAUGCUUCAACAACGAGACCGUUCCAAAAGCAACAAUGAACCUGGAAAUUAUAAAUGUGAACAUGGAAUAUGUUAAAAUUGAUGUCAUUUAGACUGAGCAGUGUCCAAAUAUGGAAACACUUACUGUUGCUAAACAGAACUUUAUUUAUGUGCAUGAAUGGCCAUUUUCUAUGCUUUUUCAGUUCAAGUUCAACAAAGGGCCAAACAUAGGGCAUCGUAAUCUGUAAUAGUAACAAAUUCCCAUUAACAUACAGCAUCAACCUCAUCCUCACCACCAAAUAUUCUGAAGCAAGAUCCUUCCAUGAUUUAACCUUCAAAAUUCAAAUACUUAAAAGGGGUGCCAUGCAUCAAAGAAUAUUGUGAAAUAUCCCCAUCUUCCCCCGCCAUUUUCAUCAACCCUUAACCCCUGCCCCCUAUUCAAUUUACUUACUUGACAACCACAUUGCGUGUUUAAACUCUCUCCAACACGACUCCAAGAAUCUGUCAACAGCAUAGGAACCAUAUAUUACCAUUUUUCUUGACAUAUAAAUUGCAACUCUUGAAAUACUGAUGACAUAUAUUACCAUUUUUCUUGAGCUGGAAUAUUUUGGCAGAUGAAAAAAUCGUAGUUGAAAGUAUAGCCUCUGCUUCUUGUAAUAUAUGCUAUGCUCUCCCGAAGAAGAGAGCAAAAAUCUAGCAAAAAUUAGGAUUAGAUCAACAGUGGGACUCUUCAACCAAGAAAAGAAAGAACACAUGUGCAUAGAGAGGAGGAUUUCAUGGGAGUACAAUGCCAUGGACAGGUCAGCUGAUGAAGAAUGCAUGUCCUGCUUUUUGGCUCUUCCAUUGAACACAUGCUGAAAAAGAAGAAGCUUAGUUAGGGGGUUAUAUUAGAUCAUUUGAAAUUGUGAGAUUUUUAUGAUUUAAAAAUGUAAACCAAAUACGUAAUUACCACAUCUUUUUGUGCAUCUAAUUUCUUAAAGUUGUCAAAUGCCUUUCACAAAUAUCCAGCACUAGACCAAUGGGUUACUGCACAAAAUUAGAAAAAAUAUUGUGAAAAAUGAGUAGUAUUUCAAUAAGGAAAUUAAUGAAAAGACUUACCUGAAGGAAUGUGAGCAAUCUUAUACCAAUCGGCACCAAUGUCCUUCUGACACCUUUCUUCCAACUGAGGAACCUCAUGUAUAUUUAACUGUUGCAAAUUGGUUAGGCAGCGCAUCUCAUCCGGAAGCGACGUUAGAUUGGGCCAAUCAACAAGAGAAAGAAUUUGCAGAUUUGUUAGAUGUUGAAUCCACUCCGGAAGAUGUCCACACUUUGGAAUAUUUUCCAGUGAUAGGGAGCGUAGUCUUGUAUGAUCUUGGAAUAUCUGGAAGCCAGCUGCUGAUAGCUCCAGCUCCUUGCAGUUCGUUACUACAAGCACUUCAAGGAAAGUGAGAUGUUGGAACACAGGAAAGAGUGACCUCAAUCCGCUGCAAUUCCAAAUUUCUAAUCUUUUCAAUUGAACAAGAUGUUGAAGCCCAAGGGGGAGAGACACCAGCUGUGGAAUAUUAAUAAUCUCCAAAUGAGAGAGAUUCUUAAGGGCUUCCCAUUGCAUUCCCUCUAAAUCAACCUCCUUGCAAUCUCCUAUUGUCAAUUUUUUGAGGCCGGUGAAAUGUUUCAAGUACUCAUCUAGCAUGUGAGUGCCCAAUCCCUCAAUUUUGUGUACAUGGAAAGAUUUCAAUUUGGAGAGAGGAAGAGAAGAUGUUGAAGUUGAUGGGGUCGUACUAGUGAUGUUCAUCUUCAUGGUCUGCUUUAACGGCCUUGAACUGCUCUUCACCAACCUUAGAUCAUCAUCGAGUGAAGGAUACAAUGGCAUUGAAGUCAAAGGGCAAUUUACAAUUUCUAAAGAGGAAAGACAAGGAAAUACCAUCAUUGAUGUUCCUAUAACUGUUGUGUCAUCCUCGUUAUCAUCAUCAAUGGACCUUUUCCUCCACCAACUCUUCAUAUUUGGGCAAUUCUCGAGGCAAAGAGACUUAAGCGAUGGGAAGAAUGAUUCUGGUUCUCCCUGACUUCCUUUUGGGCUAUUGUCGUCCAUGUACUCCAGCUCAGUUAAAUCAACAAUUGACAGCUUUUGAAGACAAGGCAAUUGCGCAAAGGACGGGAUUUGUUUGAAAUUACUAGGACCCCAUAUUCUAAUCACGGUAAGAUUUGUGAGCAAAGAAAGCCAACUUGGAAACUUGGCAUCACCCCUCCAUCCUCCAAUAAAGAGCUCCUUGAGAUUGGGAUGGGGCCGGAGGUCUUCAAGUGACUUGUCAUCAUCAUCAUCAUCAUUACCAUCAUCAUUAUCAUCAUCAUCAUAAUUCCAGACUAAAACCAACAAUCUCAAAUGUUGCUUCUCUUUCAAAUUAGCCGCUUUAAACUUCUCUUUUGCAUUUUUUACAAAUCCCAAAUUUGUUAUUUCUAGCCGUCCCCUUAAGUUGUUAAGCCCACUCAAUUCACUUAGAUCUGCACCGUCAUGUGAGCCAUCUUUAUCCACUACAAACAUGCUUAACGUCUCAAGGGAAGUCAGCUUCCCUAUUCCACGUGGCAUAUGAGUUAAACUAACACAAUCUUCGCACCCAAGAUGAGUAAGAUUCACCAAUUUUUCAAUCUUCUUCGGCAAUUCUUCAAGCUUCCAACAUAAGUCAAGUUUCAAAGCUUGCAAAUUGUGUAUCUUGCAAAUACUCUUUGGGAGGCUCUUAAUAUCGAAAUUCCCAGAAAGAUUAAGGUACCUCAAAUGUUUCAACUUACAAAUGGAGCGUGGAAUCAUCUCAAAAUCUAAACCAUUCAUUUCCAAUACACGCAAGCAUCUAUAAUUUGAAAUGAUAAAAUUCCAAAUUUCGUCGUUCAUAUUUUGAUUUCUCUUAUUUGGAAAUUGUAACAUAGUUCGCAACUUCUUUCCUUCUAACAAAGGAAUUAAUGAAGGAUCAAUUGAUAUGUGGCGACAUUUUUCACCAACCUGGAUUGCAAUUUCAUUUGAAUCUACAAUACUUCUCUCCGUCCCUGAUACUGAUUCAGCUAGAUCAUGCAUUAAAUCAUGCAUUUUACAUGUUAGACCUUCCCACGAAUAUCUUUCUCCUACUUCUUGAAAGAAACUUCUUUCAACUAAAUCUAUAAAAUACCCCAACCCGAUCUCCUCAAAAGAUUGAUUUGAAUUCAAUUGCUUUACGAAGCCUUGUGCAAUCCAAAACUGAACAAGAGUUCGUACACGAAUUUCAUGAUCUUUUGGAUACAGUCGGCAGUAAGCAAAGCAAUGCUUCAAAUGGGAUGGGAGAUGAUCGUAGCUCAACUUAAGUGUAUCUAGAAUUUUACCUUCGUUUUGACAUAUUCUAGUAAAUUCAUUAUCUUUGAAAGAACGCCACUCCUUUUCAGUUUCUUUGAAAGAUAAUGUACUUGCUAUCGUCCUUAUGACCAAAGGAACCCCACCACACCCUUCCAAAAUCUGUUUCCCUAUUUCUACAAAGGCUGCAUUUGUUGAGUCUGCAUAUCUUUGCUCAAAUGCUAUUUCUUUGAACAAAGACCAAGCAUCGUCAUCAGACAAGCCUUUCAGAACAUAAGGUUGACAUUUACUAGUAACCUUUGCUACUCUCAAAGAGCGAGUAGUUACUAUUAUCCUACUUCCUUUAGCCCCACCUACUAAUAACUCUUUUAAACUAACCCAUUCUUCCCACUCCUCAUUCCAAAUGUCAUCCAAAACAAGCAAAUAUUUUUUCCCACCAAUUUUUCCUCGAAGUUGGGUUUGCAAUUGAUCCAUUUCGAGUUUUUGAUUUGGUGCUUCACCAGUUGCAGAUUUGAUCAUAUUUUCUACAAUUAUUUUGACAUCAAAAACAUCUGAAACGCACACAAACAUCAUCAACUCAAAAUGAUUUUUGACCAUUUCAUCAUUAUAGACAAAUUGCGCCAAAGCAGUCUUUCCUAACCCUCCUAACCCCACAAUUGGAAUGAUGGAAACAUUCUCUUCACUUUCAAACUCUAACAUGAGUUUUAAAAGAGCUGCUUUAUCAUCGUCCCUCCCUAUUAUGUUAUCUUUAAAAGAGUGCGUUUGAUGCCUCCUUUUAGUCAUGAAAGAGGUUUCCAUGGGGCGGUCACGCUCUACCAAAUUGAAAAUCUUGGCCUCACUUCCAAUCGAAGUUAGCCUCGCCUUAAUGGCCUUAAUUUGACGACCCAUUUUGAGACCGUAAGCAAACUGGUUUGAGCUUGAGAAGAAAAGGCGUACCUCUUUCGUCAACUUGUUCCCACCCAAUAGAUCUUUCCGCAAAGCUUCGGUAGAGAAAUCAUCGAGCAGGUCAUCGGCAUCAUAAAGUACAUCUUUCAGCUUUUCAAGCCAAUCUUUGACGAGAUGGCUGGUCACAGAUCGCUGUUCUGCGUCAAGAAGCACAGCUUUGAUUGUGGAGACGGUGCUUUUGAGGUCGUCG
This 10141-nucleotide long non-coding RNA is filed under the name Gossypium barbadense (sea-island cotton). RNAcentral's name for it is "long non-coding RNA (GBAR_LNC011034)". Lineage: Eukaryota; Viridiplantae; Streptophyta; Magnoliopsida; Malvales; Malvaceae. The record is from RNAcentral.